AAUUUUGGACAAUGGGCGCAAGGCUGAUCCAUCCAUGCCGCGUGAGUGAAGAAGGAAAUCGGGUUGAAAAUCUCUUUCGGACGGAAAGAAAUCGCGCAGGCUAAUACCCUGCGCGGAUGAAUGGACCGUCAUAAGAAGCACCGGCCAACUACAUGCCUCCUGCCGGGGUACUCCCGAGGGUGCGAGCGUUAAUCGGAAGUACUGGGCGUAAAGCGUGCGCAGGCGGUUGAUUAAGACAGGCGUGAAAUCCCCGGGCUUAACCUGGGAACUGCGCUUGUGACUGGUCAGCUAGAGUACGGCAGAGGGGGGUGGAAUUCCACGUGUAGCAGUGAAAUGCGUAGAGAUGUGGAGGAACACCGAUGGCGAAGGCAGCCCCCUGGGCCGAUACUGACGCUCAUGCACGAAAGCGUGGGUAGCAAACAGG
This 424-nucleotide ribosomal RNA is filed under the name uncultured bacterium. Its description in RNAcentral is "partial 16S ribosomal RNA". It matches the Rfam family "Bacterial small subunit ribosomal RNA", at positions 360 to 776 of the family's 1533-position model. The record is from RNAcentral.